CCUACGGGAGGCAGCAGUGGGGAAUAUUGGACAAUGGGGGGAACCCUGAUCCAGCGACGCCGCGUGAGUGAAGAAGUAUUUCGGUAUGUAAAGCUCUAUCAGCAGGGAAGAAAGAAAUGACGGUACCUGACUAAGAAGCCCCGGCUAACUACGUGCCAGCAGCCGCGGCAAUACGUAGGGGGCAAGCGUUAUCCGGAUUUACUGGGUGUAAAGGGAGCGUAGACGGCGAUGCAAGUCUGAAGUGAAAGGCGGGGGCGCAACCCCAGGACUGCUUUGGAAACUGUAUGGCUGGAGUGCAGGAGAGGUGAGUGGAAUUCGUGGUGUAGCGGUGAAAUGCGUAGAUAUUAGGAGGAACGCCAGUGGCGAAGGCGGCUUACUGGACUGUAACUGACGUUGAGGCUCGAAAGCGUGGGGAGCAAACAGGAUUAGAUACCCCUGUAGUC
RNAcentral lists this ribosomal RNA (443 nucleotides) under uncultured bacterium. RNAcentral's name for it is "partial 16S ribosomal RNA". It matches the Rfam family "Bacterial small subunit ribosomal RNA", at positions 338 to 795 of the family's 1533-position model. The record is from RNAcentral.